CAGAGGUGUUCAGGGUUUUAGGCAAAAAGCCCCUUAGCGGACGUUUCUGGGUGAAUUAUAACUAAGGACAACUGAAGUACAUCAAAGUGAAGAAUGUUGGGGAAGAUUACAACAGAUCCACCUUACCUUACCAUCGCGAAUUUCGAGGACUGUCUGGCUUCUGAUGAUGUUCUGGUGRACUUCUUUAAUGACUUCCUCAGCCUACCUGUAAACAUCCUGUCACAUUUCUWCUUGGCCAUAUUAUUUACUUUAUUCAGUAACUAAACUUUUG
Molecule: long non-coding RNA, 271 nt
Organism: Salvelinus sp. IW2-2015
Lineage: Eukaryota; Metazoa; Chordata; Actinopteri; Salmoniformes; Salmonidae
Source: RefSeq, a predicted model, not a curated record